Long non-coding RNA from Ixodes scapularis (black-legged tick), 929 nucleotides. RefSeq lists it as uncharacterized. The record is from RefSeq and is a predicted model, not a curated record. Lineage: Eukaryota; Metazoa; Arthropoda; Arachnida; Ixodida; Ixodidae. The transcript has 3 exons.
GAGGUGACUGUGAAAGGACUAUUCAGUGAGUAUAUUGCAUCUCUUCAUGCGUGCAGCAGUGUUCAUUAAUUGUAAGUAUUUUUUUCUUAUGUAACUACAGAUUCCUACGAAGAAGGGCGAUCUAAGUUGGAGCGGUCGCGGUUCACAUCUGAUCUCUCGGACGAGGAGAUACGCCCAAAGCGUAGGAGAUUUCGCCCCACACGCUGGAGCGAGUCCGACUCAAGCUCGGAUGAAUUCCCGGAAGCCCCGAUGCCGCUCUGCGCACGGCAGAACUCGCCCAGUAGCCAGAGACUGGAAUCACAGAGUGCGAGCCCGGCAAGAUCAAUACACAGUGAAAUGUCGCAAGCUGCACUAAUGCGAGGUGCUAGUGGUUCGUCCCAGUCGUCUAGCACUUCGAUAAACACGCUGGCUCCCAGUCCACAAGAUAAAGGUAGCUAUAGGGUGUUUUCACUGACGUAAUUUCGUCCACCAUUUUGUUGUUGUGAGCUGUCUGGCGUGUGCCAAACUCGAGCAUUCCAAGGAUUGACACGCCCCCUCAAAUGCGUAGAGCACCGCUGACAUCAUCUCAACCGGUUACGAUGUAAUCCUUCAAUGUAGUAAAUUUGUGUGAAAAAACAAGCUAACAACAAAAUGCCAAAUUGACGUUAUGUGCGAACAACCUAUAAUGUAUGGCCAUUUUACAAAUGAGGGGCUAUGCACAUAUUGCUGCAAGUUGAGGUGCAAAGCUUGCAGAACCAAUUAACUUUAAUUUCAUUUCCGUGUGAGCGCUGAAGUUUUAUAUUUAAUCAAAUUUGGGCAAGCAAAUAUAUGGAGCACCAUGCCACCAAAAACAAGGUGGCUUUCUUCACAUCUAGGAACCUAAAUAUGAGAAAAAUCCAUGUCACCAUGUACCCUUCUUGCAUGUAGCCCCUUCAAUUGUCUUUAUCUUC